Molecule: ribosomal RNA, 513 nt
Filed under: uncultured Entrophosporaceae
Lineage: Eukaryota; Fungi; Glomeromycota; Glomeromycetes; Entrophosporales; Entrophosporaceae
Description: SSU rRNA
Rfam family: Eukaryotic small subunit ribosomal RNA
Source: RNAcentral
AGCAGCCGCGGUAAUUCCAGCUCCAAUAGCGUAUAUUAAAGUUGUUGCAGUUAAAAAGCUCGUAGUUGAAUUUCGGGAUUGGCGCAUCGGUCGUGCCUCACGGGGUAUGAACUGGUGCAGUCAAUUUCUCACCUUCUGGAGAACCGCGAUGUCCUUAAUUGGAUGCCGCGGGGAACCAGGACCUUUACUUUGAAAAAUUAGAGUGUUUAAAGCAGGCAUUUUUGCUUGAAUACAUUAGCGUGGAAUAAUAAAAUAGGACGGCAUGGUUCUAUUUUGUUGGUUUCUAGGACCACCGUAAUGAUUAAUAGGGAUAGUUGGGGGCAUUAGUAUUCAAUUGUCAGAGGUGAAAUUCUUGGAUUUAUUGAAGACUAACUACUGCGAAAGCAUUUGCCAAGGAUGUUUUCAUUAAUCAAGAACGAAAGUUAGGGGAUCGAAGACGAUCAGAUACCGUCGUAGUCUUAACCAUAAACUAUGCCGACUAGGAAUCAGACGAUGUUAAUUUUUAAUGACUCG